UGGGGAAUUUUCCGCAAUGGGUGAAAGCCUGACGGAGCAACGCCGCGUGAGGGACGAAGGCCUCUGGGCUGUAAACCUCUUUUCUCAAGGAAGAAGAUAUGACGGUACUUGAGGAGUAAGCCACGGCUAAUUCCGUGCCAGCAGCCGCGGUAAUACGGGAGUGGCAAGCGUUAUCCGGAAUUAUUGGGCGUAAAGCGUCCGCAGGCGGCUUUUCAAGUCUGCUGUUAAAGCGUGGAGCUUAACUCCAUCAUGGCAGUGGAAACUGAAAGGCUUGAGUAUGGUAGGGGCAGAGGGAAUUCCCGGUGUAGCGGUGAAAUGCGUAGAUAUCGGGAAGAACACCAGUGGCGAAGGCGCUCUGCUGGGCCAUUACUGACGCUCAUGGACGAAAGCCAGGGGAGCGAAAGGGAUUAGAUACCCCUGUAGU
RNAcentral lists this ribosomal RNA (424 nucleotides) under uncultured cyanobacterium. Its description in RNAcentral is "bacterial SSU rRNA". It matches the Rfam family "Bacterial small subunit ribosomal RNA", at positions 355 to 794 of the family's 1533-position model. Lineage: Bacteria; Bacillati; Cyanobacteriota. The record is from RNAcentral.